RNAcentral lists this ribosomal RNA (243 nucleotides) under uncultured bacterium. Its description in RNAcentral is "partial 16S ribosomal RNA". It matches the Rfam family "Bacterial small subunit ribosomal RNA", at positions 524 to 776 of the family's 1533-position model. The record is from RNAcentral.
UACGUAGGGUGCGAGCGUUGUCCGGAAUUAUUGGCGUAAAGAGCUCGUAGGCGGUCUGUCGCGUCGAAUGUGAAACCCGGGCUCAACUCCGGCUUGCAUUCGAUACGGCAGGCUAGAGUUCGGUAGGGAGUCUGGAAUUCCUGUGUGAGCGGUGAAAUGCGCAGAUAUCAGGAGGAACACCGGUGGCGAAGGCGGACUCUGGCCGAUACUGACGCUGAGGAGCGAAGCAUGGGAGCGAACAGG